This 1380-nucleotide long non-coding RNA is filed under the name Homo sapiens (human). RNAcentral's name for it is "HSALNT0398396". The record is from RNAcentral. Lineage: Eukaryota; Metazoa; Chordata; Mammalia; Primates; Hominidae.
UUGCCCUUCUUAAACUCCUCCCUCCUCUGAGGCCCCUUCCCCUUCCCCUUCCCCAGCCUCUAUGUCCCAUUAUUUGUAACGGAAUGUGGUCAAGGGACUGGCUGGAAUAGGGAACCCAGGCACCCCUGUAAAGAGGGAAGCCGUAAUGGGGGCUGAAGUGGUGUCUGGGCCUCGUCCUCAUUUGCUGUCCCUGGGCUGGGCAGGUGGAGACGGAUUCAGGGCCAGGACCUAGUUAAGCUGUCGGAUUAGACAUGGAGGCUCCUAAUCCCCUCACUGACCUUUAUGAGUGGCCCAGGCCCUGCCCUCCCCAGUGGAAACCCAGGCUGGGCUGCCCUGCUCCCAUACUCCUUUCAAACGAAACCCCCUCCCUGCCCCUUCACUUCCAACUUAACAUCCUUCCCCAACCCUGCGUUUCCAUUGCCCCCAUCCCUACCUACCCCAGACACCCUGAGCUGAGAGAGCAGCCAGCUAAUUAAUCCCAUCCGGUUAUUACAUGGGGAUUCUGAGGGAUAAAGGGAGAUGGAGAAGCUGGAGGGGGCAUUUGGGUUGAUGCAGCACUUGUGAAGGCUGAAUGGCAAUGACAGUGGCUGCCCUCGGUCCAGAACACGGGGUGGGAACACGUCCUCCUCACUGUCACUGGCUCCCUCUGCAGUUGGCUCCCAGCCUGCGGGGCACUUAGACACCCGAGUUCAGAGCCAGCCUCCAAGAGUAUCUUACAUCCCAGCGUCUCCUGGAAGGCCGUAUGAUCCAGCACUGGGGAGAGGAGGGAAAUCCCCAGGACUCGAAUGCCCAUCCCACCCUUGGUGUAGUGAGGACUCAUCCUGCUGGAAAGGCCCCUGAAGAACUUCAAGUUCCAAUAUCCCGUUUUUACAGAUGGGGAAACUGACAUGAAGAGGAGUCCAAAGUGACACAGUCAGGCCAGAAAUGUUGCUUCUGAAGUCCUGAGUCCACCUCCUAGCACUGCCAAGCAGUCCACCUGGAGGUGAUGAGAACUUCCAGGCUUUGGUAAUGGACAACUCUGUAUCCCUGGAGCCUUCAUUCCUUUUGGCAUUACAGAACCACAAGAAGUCAUCUAGAAUCAUUGAGAUUCUCAACUCCAUUGGGCAAACUGGAACCAGCAAAAUCUCAGAUAUCUAGAAUUGCCACUGCUUCCUUGACUCUGUGAUCAGUCUACAGCCACAGAAUCCUGAUUCCCUUUGGACAUUCUAGAAUGGCACUUUAAAAAAAAACAACCCACCCAGUGGAUCCUUUCAAAGCACUGCUUAUUCUCUUGGCUGGGUGCUCUACAGCCAGAAGUUGGAGUUAUCUAAUAUCAAGAACUCUUAAUCUGUCACUUCAGUCUUUCUAAACCCACAGACUAACAAUGUUUUGUGCAUUCUA